GACGAACGCUGGCGGCGUGCUUAACACAUGCAAGUCGAACGGAAAGGCCCUGCUUUUGUGGGGUGCUCGAGUGGCGAACGGGUGAGUAACACGUGAGUAACCUGCCCUUGACUUUGGGAUAACUUCAGGAAACUGGGGCUAAUACCGGAUAGGAGCUCCUGCUGCAUGGUGGGGGUUGGAAAGUUUCGGCGGUUGGGGAUGGACUCGCGGGUUAUCAGAUUGUUGGUGGGGUAGUGGCUUACCAAGGCUUUGACGGGUAGCCGGCCUGAGAGGGUGACCGGCAACAAUGGGACUGAGAUACGGCCCAGACGACUACGGGAGGCAGCAGUGGGGAAUAUUGCACAAUGGGCGGAAGCCUGAUGCAGCAACGCCGCGUGCGGGAUGACGGCCUUCGGGUUGUAAACCGCUUUCGCCUGUGACGAAGCGUGAGUGACGGUAAUGGGUAAAGAAGCACCGGCUAACUACGUG
RNAcentral lists this ribosomal RNA (468 nucleotides) under uncultured bacterium. RNAcentral's name for it is "partial 16S ribosomal RNA". It matches the Rfam family "Bacterial small subunit ribosomal RNA", at positions 28 to 507 of the family's 1533-position model. The record is from RNAcentral.